Molecule: non-coding RNA, 97 nt
Organism: Pseudomonas sp.
Lineage: Bacteria; Pseudomonadati; Pseudomonadota; Gammaproteobacteria; Pseudomonadales; Pseudomonadaceae
Source: Rfam
UGUCGGUCCCCCCGCAACGAUCAACCGUGAACCCGGUCAGGCCCGGAAGGGAGCAGCCGCAGCGGUGAUGUCGUGUGCCGGGGUGUGGCUGGCGGGG